GCUGUUUUCCGCGUCCACCUCCUUCAGCUUCGCUGCCAGGUCCUCCACUUGGCCCUCCAGCUGGAGGCGCACCUUCUGCAGCUCCUCCACCUAUGCACAGGGAAUCUUUGAAUCUCCUGAAUCAUGUCCUGCAAAUUUCCUGUUGGAAUAUUGACAGCACAACGAUUAUUUCUAGCUGGCACACUUGCAAGCCACAAUUCACAGCACAAGGCUUCAAUAGUCCUUGCAGAAGACUGCGUGCCCAUUAGGAUGCAUUUGGCAGAAGCAACCAGCAUUAAUUGCAGUACUGAAAAUUUGAGAACAACACACAUACCUGGGCCUGCUUGCGGUCCACUUCCACUUCAGCAUCCUCGUAGCGCAGCCGUUGUGUGAGCCUCAGGAGCAGGCCAUGCACCUGGCUGCAUGCCUCCUUGAAAUCCCCGAUCACCGCCUGCCCAUUGGACUCCUCCAUUUUCAGCUCCUCCU
This 465-nucleotide long non-coding RNA is filed under the name Coccomyxa subellipsoidea. RNAcentral describes it as "long non-coding RNA (CSUB_LNC000618)". Lineage: Eukaryota; Viridiplantae; Chlorophyta; Trebouxiophyceae; Coccomyxaceae. The record is from RNAcentral.